RNAcentral lists this ribosomal RNA (204 nucleotides) under uncultured bacterium. RNAcentral describes it as "partial 16S ribosomal RNA". It matches the Rfam family "Bacterial small subunit ribosomal RNA", at positions 1297 to 1500 of the family's 1533-position model. The record is from RNAcentral.
AUUGCAGCCUGCAACUCGGCUGCAUGAAGCUGGAAUCGCUAGUAAUCGCAGAUCAGAAUGCUGCGGUGAAUACGUUCCCGGGUCUUGUACACACCGCCCGUCACACCAUGGGAGUCGGGAAUGCCCGAAGUCAGUGACCCAACCGCAAGGAGGGAGCUGCCGAAGGCAGGCUCGAUAACUGGGGUGAAGUCGUAACAAGGUAAC